RNAcentral lists this transfer RNA (22 nucleotides) under Zelkova serrata. Its description in RNAcentral is "partial tRNA-His". Lineage: Eukaryota; Viridiplantae; Streptophyta; Magnoliopsida; Rosales; Ulmaceae. The record is from RNAcentral.
AUGUAGCCUGGUGGAAGGCAGU